Long non-coding RNA from Vigna unguiculata (cowpea), 385 nucleotides. RefSeq lists it as uncharacterized. The record is from RefSeq and is a predicted model, not a curated record. Lineage: Eukaryota; Viridiplantae; Streptophyta; Magnoliopsida; Fabales; Fabaceae.
CCUCUUGUCUCCCUCUACGAAGCAAAGUUCUGCUAGGGCACGUACCAUCUUCCAUCUCCAAGCUAGCCUAACCCAUCAGGUACUCUAGCUCACUUCCUUGGUUCUGGAGCUGCUAUUUUCGUAGAUUGCGGGUCUGUUGUCUUUUGGUACUUAAAACAAGAUGAGAGGGAGGUUCGAGAUGGAUCCGGGAGACGCAGCAGUGCAACUUAGAUCUUCUUGACUGGAUGUCUUAGGAGUAGUUUCAUGGCCAUGAGGCCUUUUGUAUUAGUUACCUUGAGGGCAACCCUUUUGCAAGACCGUUGAACUUUUAAAUUUCCUUUUGCUUAGGACUAUGUGGUAUGCCUAAGUUUCCUUUGGAGUAUUUCCGGAUGACUAUAAUAGUUAU